This 530-nucleotide ribosomal RNA is filed under the name Sphingomonas sp. Its description in RNAcentral is "bacterial SSU rRNA". It matches the Rfam family "Bacterial small subunit ribosomal RNA", at positions 353 to 900 of the family's 1533-position model. The record is from RNAcentral. Lineage: Bacteria; Pseudomonadati; Pseudomonadota; Alphaproteobacteria; Sphingomonadales; Sphingomonadaceae.
AGUGGGGAAUAUUGGACAAUGGGCGAAAGCCUGAUCCAGCAAUGCCGCGUGAGUGAUGAAGGCCUUAGGGUUGUAAAGCUCUUUUACCCGGGAUGAUAAUGACAGUACCGGGAGAAUAAGCUCCGGCUAACUCCGUGCCAGCAGCCGCGGUAAUACGGAGGGAGCUAGCGUUGUUCGGAAUUACUGGGCGUAAAGCGUACGUAGGCGGCUUUGUAAGUAAGAGGUGAAAGCCUGGAGCUCAACUCCAGAACUGCCUUUUAGACUGCAUCGCUUGAAUCCUGGAGAGGUGAGUGGAAUUCCGAGUGUAGAGGUGAAAUUCGUAGAUAUUCGGAAGAACACCAGUGGCGAAGGCGGCUCACUGGACAGGUAUUGACGCUGAGGUACGAAAGCGUGGGGAGCAAACAGGAUUAGAUACCCUGGUAGUCCACGCCGUAAACGAUGAUAACUAGCUGUCUGGGUACUUGGUACUUAGGUGGCGCAGCUAACGCAUUAAGUUAUCCGCCUGGGGAGUACGGUCGCAAGAUUAAAAC